AUUGAACGCUGGCGGCAGGCCUAACACAUGCAAGUCGCGCGGAGCUGCAGACGGGUGAGUAAUGCCUAGGAAUCUGCCUGGCUGCGGGGUAUAACGUCCGGAAACGGGCGCUAAUAUUGCACACUCUCAGCUGAGCCUAGGUCGGAUUAGCUAGUUGGUGUGGUAAAGGCCUACCAAGGCGACGAUCCGUAACUGGUCAGAGAGGAUGAUCAGUCACACUGGAAGUGAGACACGGUCCAGAUGCCUACGGGAGGCAGCAGUGGGGAAUAGUGGACAAUGGGCGCAAGUCUGGUACAGCCAUGCGGAGGGUGUGAAGAAGGUCUCCGGAUUGUAAAGCACGUUGGGUUGGGAGGCGUUACCAACAGAAUAAGCACCGGCUAACUUCGUGCCAGCAGCCGCGGUAAUAC
Molecule: ribosomal RNA, 407 nt
Filed under: uncultured bacterium
Lineage: Bacteria
Description: partial 16S ribosomal RNA
Rfam family: Bacterial small subunit ribosomal RNA
Source: RNAcentral